Long non-coding RNA from Salvelinus namaycush (lake trout), 2205 nucleotides. RefSeq lists it as uncharacterized. The transcript has 3 exons. NCBI's taxonomy places the organism in Eukaryota, Metazoa, Chordata, Actinopteri, Salmoniformes, Salmonidae. The record is from RefSeq and is a predicted model, not a curated record.
CCCUACCAGUAUACAGUAGCCAACAAGGAGUAUGUAGCCUAUAGCCACACAGGAAGGAUUAUCCCAGCUAUCUGGUACCGUUAUGACCUCAGUCCAAUCACAGUCAAGUACACAGAGAAGAGACAACCCCUCUACCGGUUCAUAACUACGAUCUGUGCUAUCAUCGGGGGGACGUUCACGGUAGCAGGCAUCAUAGACUCCUGUAUAUUCACAGCCUCCGAAGCCUGGAAGAAGAUCCAGAUAGGAAAGAUGUCCUGAGGACAUAUCACUACGCUGUCCUGAGGACCCAUCACUACGUAUCACUACGCCCCUCAUAAAACAUAUUUAUAACAUCGGAAGGGUGUAUUUCAAUCAUCUACAGGAUUCCUCUCCUUCACCUGCUUCCUCUCCUUCACCUGCUUCCUCUCCUUCACCUGCUUCCUCUCCUUCACCUGAUUCCUCUCCUUCACCUGCUUCCUCUCCUUCACCUGCUUCCUCUCCUUCACCUGCUUCCUCUCCUUCACCUGCUUUAAUAAUACCAUUUAGCUGCCGGUUGUUUCCUAAGCGACUUAGUCAUGUUACACAUUUUUCUUUAUGGGUGGCCCCAGCGGGAAUCGAACCCAAGUGCCAUGCUCUACCCACUGAGCCUUACAUUCCUUCAUCUGUCAGAGCAGAGGAAGGAAAGGAGACGAGGCGAGGAAGCGACUCUAGACUAUUGAGAUGCACCCAGAGACUGGCAGUAUAUUUCCCCAUAUGACAACAGGAUGGAUGGUUAACUGAUUGUUUUUCAUAUGAACCUGUGCAAUCACUUGGGCAUGUCCAAAUGGCACCAUUUUACCCUUUAUAGUGCACUUCUUUUGGAGCCUCAUAAAUAGUGCACUUCUUUUGGAGCUUCAAAUAGUGCACUACUUUUGGAGCCUCAAAUAGUGCACUAUGAAUUAAAUAGGGUGGUAGAAUUAAUUAAUUUGUCAUCAAAUUUUCUCUCCUGUUACUUUCAAAUGUUUUUUUUUUUUACAUAAUAUUUUGUACUUUGUGACAUGAAGUGAAUAUAAACUGUCUCUUUCAGGUGUAAAAUACCACACUGUAACAUAACAUACUGUAUUUAUGAUUGAAUUGUGGAAUGAAUCAUACUGUCACAUCAAGCCAUUGGAAAUAUAAUGAAUCAAUUGUGCCUUAGGUCUUUUUUAAAGCCCAUGUCAUACAGUAUGUCUCCCAAAUCAAGUGUUUUCAGAUUUCUGGAUCGUUUGGUUUUUCAUUUCAGUGUUGACUGAACCAGGCUUUUCUUAUUGUCAUUUCAUAAUGCUGAAUCUAUUACCGUAUUGACUGAAUAAUGGACCGGUUCUAGAACUGGUCUUGGUUCUAGAACUGGUCUUGGUUCUAGAACUGGUCUUGGUUCUAGAACUGGUCUUGGUUCUUGAACUGGUCUUGGUUCUUGAACUGGUCUUGGUUCUAGAACUGGUCUUGGUUCUAGAACUGGUCUUGGUUCUAGAACUGGUCUUGGUUCUUGAACUGGUCUUGGUUCUAGAACUGGUCUUGGUUCUUGAACUGGUCUUGGUUCUAGAACUGGUCUUGGUUCUUGAACUGGUCUUGGUUCUAGAACUACAACGUGGUCAAUGCUUACUGCCUUGCCCCGCCCUCUCUCCUUUUUAUAGAAUGUUUCCUGAAUCCAUUGUGACUGACCGUGCUAUCUGUUCAAUGUCCUUGUGUCAAAUCCAUUUAUGAAGUUGUUUUUGGUUUGAUCUACUUUCUGAAAACGUUCAAAGGAUUUGGACGUCUUUAUUUUGUUGCCAAAAAGAGAAAAGUAAUAGUAUUUUCUUAGUUUCUUCUGUUUUACUGAAUGUAAACGUGUGUAUUCUUUUGAUUGUAAUUGAUUGUAACAAUCGGUAUUAUCCAUUUGAUGUUGUUACAGGGUUUCUGUGGGAAGGGAGGGAACUGUUUAGUUAUAAGGGCUAUAUCCCAAAUGUUACCCUAUUGCCAUUGUAGUGCAUGACUUGUAGAUCAGGGCCCAUAGGGCUAUCAUCAAAAGUAGUGCACUACACAGGGAAUAGGGUGGCCGUCAAUAUGUUCUUUAUCAAUGGUCUCAUCACUACCAUGACAACUAAGAUGAAGGCCAUUGAUAAAUAGAAGUCUUUAGAACUGGUAUUAUUGGACUAGGUCAGACAUUUUCCUGUCAUGAAAGAUGAUGUGUGAUCAAUGCAACAACCAGUAAAGUUACUUUAGCAACCA